Amphimedon queenslandica is the source of this 831-nucleotide long non-coding RNA. RefSeq lists it as uncharacterized. The record is from RefSeq and is a predicted model, not a curated record. Lineage: Eukaryota; Metazoa; Porifera; Demospongiae; Haplosclerida; Niphatidae. The transcript is spliced from 5 exons.
GGGCGUGGCUUAAGUUAUUAAGACUAAAAUGGCGAGAUGGUCCUGGAAGAAAAUCUUUCUUUAUGGAGCUGCAGCUGCAAUUGGAGCCACUAUACUGUUUGCUAAUUCCCCUCUAGCCCUCCCUAAAAGAGUUCCUUUCAAACUGAGUCAGUUAGAAACUGCAGCACUGACAUACAUGGACGGGAGCAGCCGGUCAAUAGCGGCCAGAGAACUCUGGAAAGAUAGGGGAGCUGUUUUACUAGUUGUGCGUAGAGCUGGAUGACCAUUGUGCCAAGAGGAGGCAGUGAAGGUCUCCUCUCUUCUUCCUGAGCUUGAGAAGCUCGGCAUUCCAUUGUAUGGUAUCGUUUCUCAGAAGACUGGGGCUAAGGGUUUCAAGGAAUAUCUGAAAGGGGAUAUACUGCUUGAUGAAGAGAAAGCAUUUUACUCCGACAGAUAUUAUUUGGGAAUUUUACGCAUUAAUACUUUCCUUAAUUAUUUCCGUGCUUCAUCGUUGUAUAAAGAGACAAGAAAAGGAGAUGGGACUUUGUUAGGAUCCUGCCUAGUAAUAGGACCAGGUAACACUGGAAUCAUAUAUCAAUAUUUAUCAAGAGAAUUCAGCGAUUAUGUAGAUCCACAAGAAGUGCUCAAAGCAGUACAUACCAUUCAUAAUGACAAUAAAUAAAAAUUAUAAAUGAAUAAUAAUAGUUAUUAAUAAUAAUGAUGCUUGGUCGUGAUGAUGAUGGCUCUCUUGGAAAACGCAGUGCAAGCGAGCUUGAUGAGAUUUCAUGAACUUUGUAUCAAAAAUUAAUAAUUAUUAUUUAAUAAAAUUAAUUAUAAUUAUUUAUAAUACAA